GGCUGGCAUAGUUUGUGGUAUAGUAAAAUACUUAGGGGUCGUAUGGUUCUAAAGAUGGGUAUAGCCUACCUUUCGGGACUUGAGAUGGGCAGACUUUAUGGUUACCUUAAUGGGUUUUACGGCCCAUCUCAUUCCUAUGUUUGAUUGACCUUUUUGAUGUAGAUAGUUAGCCGAAAUAGUCCAUUCUAACCCUAGGGUUGAGAUUUCAAUUAGUGAAUAUGUAAGUCAAAUAUACAUCUGCGCCUCUUUUUAUCUACCGUUCCCGCUUUAUUUCUCUCUAGCGCUCUGCUUUCCUGACGAUGGCGGCAAACGAUCCACGCACUCAUCGGCCUGGUCCUCGAGCAUUUUUCGGCAACUUUACAUAGUUGCGAGUGUUUUGGGUAAUCGGGUUUGAUGUGUGGGUACAUAUGCGUGUCUGCAUUUUGGUAGAAAUGUGUGUUACUUCUCCUUGCUAUGCUUGUUUUUCUGGGACAUCUUCUAUGAUAGUGUCGCUCUUUUUGAUAUGGAUAUUCUGUUCAUUGUAAUCCAGCAUUGUGUUUGAAAUGUUGAGAAUGUGAAUACACGAUGCCAUCGACAACAUAAAUCAAUUUCUAUAGAGUUAUGGAAAAUCUCUGUUUAUGUGAAUGGGGCUUUAUAUGUCUUUUAUUUACAAAGUCUAGUGUUUGUUGGAGUUUAGUUGUAAAGAAUCUUUGUGUUUUGCUCUUCGUCUGUGUCGUAUGCUUUCACGCUGAUGUUGUGUAUAUUUUUUUGCCUGUUUGAAUCAUCGACAGAACGUUGAACCUCCGCACCUAGCAUCGGUGGGAGUCAAGGCAGUAAUGGUUUGUUUGUAGUUAGUCCAACUUACAUUUACAUACAUCAAGCACAUAAUAUUAUCUCAAAAUUAAUGCAAUUGGCUGUGAUCCAUCCUUUUUAUGCUUUAGGUGGCUGUCAAUACCGCCGCUCAAGCUUUAGAAGGUGUGACCGAUCUCGCCGAUCUUGGUCUGACCGCGAAGAGGACUAGAUGAGGGUUGAGUUCCCAACUACCGAUAUAAGGGCGACUCCACACAUUUAUUCAAAGAUAUCAACUUGGAAAAAGAAUUACUACUCGCUGACAAACAUCCUGGAUCGUAGUAGUGUUGGAUUCAACUUGCAUAACGACUUUAAGAUUGAUUGUUCGGACGAUCAAUGGGAUCAAAUUGUGAAGCAAGAUACCAAUGCUCGCACAAUGCGUAGUAAGUCAUGGCAGUUCUAGGAAGAAUGGAAAAUAAUCUUUGGAAAGGACCGGGCUACUGGUGGUUUGGCGGAAGGAGUUGGUGAAGCGGUGCCUAUCAAUGUCGUCGAUGAGCCGAUUACAUCUAUUGGGGAGAGUGGCGACUACUACCCAAGCUUUGAGGACUUUCUAGGUUCCGAGCAUGUCCAACCCACUUUUACUAAUGAUCUUGUGGAUGACACAUGCGGCUGCAAAAGUCCUCGCUGCCAAAAAAGUGAAGCGCAAGCUGUUGCGAUC
This is a long non-coding RNA of Salvia splendens (bonfire salvia), 1486 nucleotides long. RefSeq lists it as uncharacterized. The record is from RefSeq and is a predicted model, not a curated record. The transcript is spliced from 2 exons. Lineage: Eukaryota; Viridiplantae; Streptophyta; Magnoliopsida; Lamiales; Lamiaceae.